Long non-coding RNA from Medicago truncatula (barrel medic), 1726 nucleotides. RefSeq lists it as uncharacterized. Lineage: Eukaryota; Viridiplantae; Streptophyta; Magnoliopsida; Fabales; Fabaceae. The transcript has 3 exons. The record is from RefSeq and is a predicted model, not a curated record.
CGGCCCCCAUACUUUUAGCAUUUUCCGAUGACAUUUAUUUUACUGGCUUAUGAGAAAUUAAUUUUCCUACAGUUCCAAGAUUGACAUUGCACUUAUCGAUCCCCCACCACUUUCACUAUUCUUCUCUCUUCUUUCAUUAUGCUCUAAGUUUGAACAACUAGCUGAAUGUUUGCAAUUUUCAGAUGGACGUUGCAUCAGUUUUAGGUAGUCUCUCUCAAAUGGUUUACAAAUCUCUAUCACAACUUUACCUUUAAAAAAAAAAAAAAUCUGCAUAUGUUUCUCUCAGUUUCAUCUUGAACUCCUCUUCUAUUAUGUAAUUAAAUUUCAUACAAAGUGGUUAUAUCAAAUUGAAUUUAAAACCAGAGUUUUCUUUGGGAAGAAAUGGAGCUAUUUGACAAAUACCAGAAUAGAACAAUUGGGGUUUUCAGAUAUUGGAGUUUUUUAAUUCAGUUGUGUUCUUUUCAACCUAAAAAUUUGCAAGAAAUAUGUUAAUUUUUUUUUCUAGAUGAACUUUUUCAAAUCAAAAUUGUUAGUUUUUCUGUUCAUUUGUGAAAUAUUGAACCAACCCAUUUGCUAGAUUUGCUAUAGGUGUUUGUGUUUUUUCGGUUACCUCAUCUGUUAGUGUAGGUUUUUUAUUGUUGGUUCGGUUUUAAGGAGUGUCUGUGUACAUUUGUUUUUUGGAGUUGUUUGGUGCUUCUUGUUGCCGUAUUUUUUUUUCUACACUGGCCUAUGCUUUUGCUGUUUUGUGACAGUGGACAGUGGCUUUCUUUUGUAUUGGAGCAGCUUGCCUUAUUAGCACUUCUGUUGCGUGGCUCUAAUUUACAUAUGCCGAUUCAAAAAAAAAAAAAAGACAUUUGCUAGAUCGGUUAAAAUUAGUUGAAGAACUAAGUGGGCUUUUGAUCUCUAUUUUAUAGAAUUUCUAAUAUGUGAUGAGGCCUUUUUUUGUGAGUUUUCUCACAAUGUUUUGCUUUUUAUUUUACUUUGAUUUUGUUACUUAUAGUGUUUUGGUUUUUGUUUCAUCCUUGAUAAAUACUCAUGAGAACAAGCAACAACUACUAGAUGUGGAAGACAUAAGCAACAAAGUGAUGUUUACUUGAAGCUACAAUGUCAUAUAGCUAUUGUUGAGUGAUGAUAAAUGUAAAUCAAUGAUAAGCUGAUUUGAGUUUUUUCUGGUCUUUGGAAUGGAUGUCAAUACUGAUGGUAAAUGAUUAUGAAGUGUACCAGCUAUUAAUUCUGCCACUUCAUUGGAGAUCAACGUGAGAACUUUGAAAUUGAGUGAAAGUGAACAGAGAUAAAAGAGAAGAGAUCUGUUUGGUUGCAGGUCUGUUUUUUUGGCUGGUUUGGGUGGUUUUGGCUGUUUUGGUGUGGUUAUUAGCCGUGAGUAUGCUUCGGGUAAAUUUCACUCUUAAAAGAACUUUUUGUGGUCAGCUUUGUUGUCAGUUGAUUUUUUUUUCAUUUUGGCGUGCAUUUUUUUCUACGAUCGUGAAGUAUUCUCUCACGGCCAAUUAUAUGUCGCAAUUUCGAGGGUAUCAUCAAGGAAUGGUUUGAAAAUACUCAUGAUUGAUGAAAAUGGUGAUUGCAUUGAUAAUACAACCAAUGUUGUAUACAAAGUAUUCCAAAAUGUAUGGACAUCUAAAAAUAAUAUGAGAGCCUUUGAGAUCAUUUUGUACUUGACUUUCUCCGACAUGUACAGAUUUUAUAGGUCAUAUUCUGCUUUAUUUUAUUA